AGAGUUUGAUCCUGGCUCAGGAUGAACGCUGGCGGCGUGCCUUACACAUGCAAGUCGUACGAGAAAAUUCGCUUCGGCGGGUGAGUAGAGUGGCGCACGGGUGAGUAACGCGUGGAUAAUCUGCCUUUAAGCUGGGAAUAACUCACCGAAAGGUGGGCUAAUACCCGAUAAUGCUAUGGGACUUCGGUUUUAUAGCCAAAGAGAGCCUCUACAUGUAAGCCUUCACUUAAAGAUGAGUCCGCGUACCAUUAGCUAGUUGGUAGGGUAAUGGCCUACCAAGGCGACGAUGGUUAGCUGGUCUGAGAGGAUGAUCAGCCACACUGGAACUGAGACACGGUCCAGACUCCUACGGGAGGCAGCAGUGAGGAAUAUUGCGCAAUGGGGGCAACCCUGACGCAGCAACGCCGCGUGAGUGAGGAAGGUCUUCGGAUCGUAAAGCUCUGUCGGGUGGGAAGAAGUGUGCAUAGGUUAAUAGCUUGUGCACUUGACGGUACCGCCAAAGGAAGCACCGGCUAACUCCGUGCCAGCAGCCGCGGUAAUACGGGGGGUGCGAGCGUUGUUCGGAAUCAUUGGGCGUAAAGAGCGUGUAGGCGGCUAGGCAAGUCAGAUGUGAAAUCCCUGGGCUUAACCCAGGAAGUGCAUUUGAAACUGCUUAGCUUGAGUACGGAAGAGGCUGAUGGAAUUCCUGGUGUAGCAGUGAAAUGCGUAGAUAUCAGGAAGAACACCAGUGGCGAAGGCGGUCAGCUGGUCCGUUACAGACACUAAAGCACGAAAGCGUGGGGAGCAAACAGGAUUAGAUACCCUGGUAGUCCACGCCCUAAACGAU
RNAcentral lists this ribosomal RNA (826 nucleotides) under uncultured bacterium. RNAcentral describes it as "bacterial SSU rRNA". It matches the Rfam family "Bacterial small subunit ribosomal RNA", at positions 8 to 810 of the family's 1533-position model. The record is from RNAcentral.